Molecule: ribosomal RNA, 191 nt
Filed under: Colletotrichum boninense
Lineage: Eukaryota; Fungi; Ascomycota; Sordariomycetes; Glomerellales; Glomerellaceae
Description: partial 18S ribosomal RNA
Rfam family: Eukaryotic small subunit ribosomal RNA
Source: RNAcentral
UUAAGUUCCCCCCUCCUUUGUACACACCGCCCGUCGCUACUACCGAUUGAAUGGCUCAGUGAGGCUUUCGGAUUGACUCAGAGAGGUGGGCAACUACCACUCAGAGUCGAAAAGUUAUCCAAACUCGGUCAUUUAGAGGAAGUAAAAGUCGUAACAAGGUCUCCGUUGGUGAACCAGCGGAGGGAUCAUUA